CACAACCUCCUUGAGUGAGCGA
This 22-nucleotide microRNA is filed under the name Aedes aegypti (yellow fever mosquito). Its description in RNAcentral is "aae-miR-307". Its record names the gene aae-miR-307. RNAcentral also lists the same sequence under 8 other names. Lineage: Eukaryota; Metazoa; Arthropoda; Insecta; Diptera; Culicidae. The record is from miRBase by way of RNAcentral.